Molecule: ribosomal RNA, 492 nt
Filed under: uncultured bacterium
Lineage: Bacteria
Description: partial 16S ribosomal RNA
Rfam family: Bacterial small subunit ribosomal RNA
Source: RNAcentral
AGUGAACGCUGGCGGUAGGCCUAACACAUGCAAGUCGAACGGCAGCACAGUAAGAGCUUGCUCUUACGGGUGGCGAGUGGCGGACGGGUGAGGAAUACAUCGGAAUCUACUUUUUCGUGGGGGAUAACGUAGGGAAACUUACGCUAAUACCGCAUACGACCUACGGGUGAAAGCAGGGGAUCUUCGGACCUUGCGCGAUUGAAUGAGCCGAUGUCGGAUUAGCUAGUUGGCGGGGUAAAGGCCCACCAAGGCGACGAUCCGUAGCUGGUCUGAGAGGAUGAUCAGCCACACUGGAACUGAGACACGGUCCAGACUCCUACGGGAGGCAGCAGUGGGGAAUAUUGGACAAUGGGCGCAAACCUGAUCCAGCUAUACCGCGUGGGUGAAGAAGGCCUUCGGGUUGUAAAGCCCUUUUGUUGGGAAAGAAAAGCAGCAGGUUAAUACCCCGCUGUUCUGACGGUACCCAAAGAAUAAGCACCGGCUAACUUCGUG